GGGGGCGACCUGGUUUCGACGGGGAUGGUUGAAGCUAAGGUUGCAGGCCGAGGCGCCGCUGGCCUCGUUAAAAGCGGCAAGGCAUAAUUGCCAACGAUACUGAAUACGCACUGGCAGCAUAGCUUAGCCAGCACUGACCUAGACUGACGCCUGAUAUUCUAGCGACGUGAAAACCCCCAUCGGGCUGGCUACAGAUUUUCUGAUUGUUGGAAUCUGGGCGAGAACCUUAAGCGAUCUGGUCGUGAUGACGCCUGUUCAUCGGCAGUUGAGCGACGAGAACUAAUAGAUGGACUAAGCCUGUAGAUGCCUUAAGUGGAGCAUUCUCGGACGGGGGUUCGAUUCCCCCCGCCUCCACCA
RNAcentral lists this transfer-messenger RNA (357 nucleotides) under Desulfobaculum bizertense. RNAcentral's name for it is "Paradesulfovibrio bizertensis Standard tmRNA". It matches the Rfam family "transfer-messenger RNA". From Rfam's summary of the family: Bacterial tmRNA, also known as 10Sa RNA or SsrA, is named for its dual tRNA and mRNA-like properties. Lineage: Bacteria; Pseudomonadati; Thermodesulfobacteriota; Desulfovibrionia; Desulfovibrionales; Desulfovibrionaceae. The record is from RNAcentral. RNAcentral also lists the same sequence under 2 other names.